CUAAGGACACUUCGACAUGCAGACUGGAGGGGAUCGAACCUACAAUCUCCUGAUUAGCGGAUGACCCGCUCUACCUCCGAGCCACAGCCACCCUACCUACCUCACCGUGUUUGGCUGCAGUCGCUGUCAGUCUACAGAUCAGCCACCGACUGUCGCAAAUCAACCAAUGAGGCCGCUGCACAGAUGGUUCUUUCUGCAUAUUAAGCCCCAUCCAUCACUCCACCCCCUUCAGACAAUGGCUGAGAUGGUGAAGGCUCAGGAGUACAACACCACCAUCAUCUAACACCACCUCCACCUGAUCCCACCCUCUGCCUGCUGAAGAACCAAUGGAUGAUGUCAUCACAUACUGAUGAUGUCAUAU
Long non-coding RNA from Larimichthys crocea (large yellow croaker), 361 nucleotides. RefSeq lists it as uncharacterized. The record is from RefSeq and is a predicted model, not a curated record. The transcript has 3 exons. NCBI's taxonomy places the organism in Eukaryota, Metazoa, Chordata, Actinopteri, Sciaenidae.